RNAcentral lists this ribosomal RNA (449 nucleotides) under uncultured bacterium. RNAcentral describes it as "partial 16S ribosomal RNA". It matches the Rfam family "Bacterial small subunit ribosomal RNA", at positions 29 to 523 of the family's 1533-position model. The record is from RNAcentral.
AGUGAACGCUGGCGGCAGGCCUAACACAUGCAAGUCGAACGAAGUCUUCGGACUUAGUGGCGGACGGGUGAGUAACACGUGGGAACGUGCCUUUAGGUUCGGAAUAACUCAGGGAAACUUGUGCUAAUACCGAAUGUGCCCUUCGGGGGAAAGAUUUAUCGCCUUUAGAGCGGCCCGCGUCUGAUUAGCUAGUUGGUGAGGUAAAGUCUCACCAAGGCGACGAUCAGUAGCUGGUCUGAGAGGAUGAUCAGCCACAUUGGGACUGAGACACGGCCCAAACUCCUACGGGAGGCAGCAGUUGGGAAUCUUGCGCAAUGGGCGAAAGCCUGACGCAGCCAUGCCGCGUGAAUGAUGAAGGUCUUAGGAUUGUAAAAUUCUUUCACCGGUGACGAUAAUGACGGUACCCGGAGAAGAAGCCCCGGCUAACUUCGUGCCAGCCGCCGCAGUAA